UACAGAGGUCUCGAGCGUUGUUCGGAUUCAUUGGGCGUAAAGGGUGCGUAGGUGGCGUGGUAAGUCGGAUGUGAAAUCCCGGGGCUCAACCCCGGAACUGCAUUCGAUACUGCCUUGCUAGAGUACUGGAGAGGAGAGUGGAAUUUACGGUGUAGCAGUGAAAUGCGUAGAUAUCGUAAGGAAGACCAGUGGCGAAGGCGGAUCUCUGGACAGUUACUGACACUGAGGCACGAAGGCCAGGGGAGCAAACAGG
This 253-nucleotide ribosomal RNA is filed under the name uncultured bacterium. RNAcentral's name for it is "partial 16S ribosomal RNA". It matches the Rfam family "Bacterial small subunit ribosomal RNA", at positions 524 to 776 of the family's 1533-position model. The record is from RNAcentral.